This 450-nucleotide ribosomal RNA is filed under the name uncultured bacterium. RNAcentral describes it as "partial 16S ribosomal RNA". It matches the Rfam family "Bacterial small subunit ribosomal RNA", at positions 354 to 796 of the family's 1533-position model. The record is from RNAcentral.
GUGGGGAAUUUUGGACAAUGGGCGCAAGCCUGAUCCAACAAUGCCGCGUGCAGGAAGAAGGCCUUCGGGUUGUAAACUGCUUUUGUACGGAACGAAACGGUCCUGGUUAAUACCCGGGGCUAAUGACGGUACCGUAAGAAUAAGCACCGGCUAACUACGUGCCAGCAGCCGCGGUAAUACGUAGGGUACAAGCGUUAAUCGGAAUUACUGGGCGUAAAGCGUGCGCAGGCGGUUUUGUAAGACAGGCGUGAAAUCCCCGGGCUCAACCUGGGAAUUGCGCUUGUGACUGCAAGGCUGGAGUGCGGCAGAGGGGGAUGGAAUUCCGCGUGUAGCAGUGAAAUGCGUAGAUAUGCGGAGGAACACCGAUGGCGAAGGCAAUCCCCUGGGCCUGCACUGACGCUCAUGCACGAAAGCGUGGGGAGCAAACAGGAUUAGAUACCCUGGUAGUCC